CGCCUUUUGUAAUACAUACAUAAAAGGUCCUGCCUGCCCAAUGACUUGUUUUAAUGGCCGCGGUAUUAUGACCGUGCAAAGGUAGCGUAAUCAUUUGUCUUCUAAAUAAAGACCAGUAUGAAUGGCAAAACGAAAGCCUUACUGUCUCCCUAGCCCAAUCAAUGAAAUUGAUCUCCCCGUGCAGAAGCGGGGAUAUUAAUAUAAGACGAGAAGACCCUGUGGAGCUUUAAACUUUCCUAACAUUCAAAUGCUUUUACCAAGUUUUAGGUUGGGGCGACCAUGAGGCACAAUGCAACCCUCACGACAAAACAAGAAGGACACUUCAAACAACUAGUAUAGUACAUUGACCCAAUUUUUGAUCAACGAACCAAGUUACCCCAGGGAUAACAGCGCAAUCUACUCAAAGAGUCCAUAUCGACGAGUGGGUUUACGACCUCGAUGUUGGAUCAGGACCCCCAAACAGCGCAACAGCCGUUAAAGGUUCGUUUGUUCAACGAUUAAAGUCCU
This 507-nucleotide ribosomal RNA is filed under the name Bolitoglossa cuchumatana (oak forest salamander). Its description in RNAcentral is "partial 16S large subunit ribosomal RNA". It matches the Rfam family "Bacterial large subunit ribosomal RNA", at positions 1817 to 2597 of the family's 2925-position model. Lineage: Eukaryota; Metazoa; Chordata; Amphibia; Caudata; Plethodontidae. The record is from RNAcentral.